AGAACCCCCGGGGAUGCCUCAGUAGCGGCGAGUGAAGCGGCAAGAGCUCAGAUUUGAAAUCGUGCUUUGCGGCACGAGUUGUAGAUUGCAGGUUGGAGUCUGUGUGGAAGGCGGUGUCCAAGUCCCUUGGAACAGGGCGCCCAGGAGGGUGAGAGCCCCGUGGGAUGCCGGCGGAAGCAGUGAGGCCCUUCUGACGAGUCGAGUUGUUUGGGAAU
RNAcentral lists this ribosomal RNA (215 nucleotides) under Pichia kudriavzevii. RNAcentral's name for it is "partial 26S ribosomal RNA". It matches the Rfam family "Eukaryotic large subunit ribosomal RNA", at positions 56 to 281 of the family's 3401-position model. The record is from RNAcentral. Lineage: Eukaryota; Fungi; Ascomycota; Pichiomycetes; Pichiales; Pichiaceae.